Molecule: long non-coding RNA, 624 nt
Filed under: Vigna radiata
Lineage: Eukaryota; Viridiplantae; Streptophyta; Magnoliopsida; Fabales; Fabaceae
Description: long non-coding RNA (VRAD_LNC012616)
Source: RNAcentral
GGAGGUAGGACGAUCAAUUGCUUUUGCUUCUGUUCGGUAAUGCGUUGCUAAUUGCUAGGGGAAGCUAGGGAUAGCAAGCCGGUAAUUAGUAAUAGGCUCUUUUCAUCGAGGGGUUGGGGUAAGGGUAGGCCAAGAAAGUUUGCAUAGCAAUUAGAUAAUCAAGCACAUUAAACAACAGGAGUAGAUAAGAGGGAGUGGAUUAGAUGAAAUUGUCAACCCCCAACAUCUCCAUUCAUCCAUAGUCUUUUUCGUCAAUUGAAUCAAACACAUUGCAUGUUUAUUUUCUAUCUUUGCAUUCCACACAAUUAAUUUUUCUCUACAAGUCUUACGAUUUCGAUUCACACGAACGAUAAGGCAUUUCGAGUCUAUUGGGAAGAACGAUAUCGGAUAUUAUCGAUUAUAUUACUUGAACGAUCUGGUACACUUGUUAGUGAGUCAACACCAGCACGCCUGGCCCCAAAGCCCAGUUUCUACGCUGGCCCCUAAGCCCAGUUUCGCCUGGCCCAUAAGCCCAGCUUGCCUGGCCCCACAGCCCAGUUUCUACACUGGCCCCAAAGCCCAGUUUCUACACUGGCCCCAAAGCCCAGUUUCUACACUGGCCCCCAAGCCCAAUUUCGCCUGGCC